UAACACAUGCAAGUCGAACGAAGCUUGACGGAUGAUUUCUUCGGAAUGAAACCAGAUAUGACUUAGUGGCGGACGGGUGAGUAACACGUGAGCAACCUGCCUUUCAGAGGGGGAUAACGGCUGGAAACGGUCGCUAAUACCGCAUGAUGUGUUCGGAUGGCAUCAUUUGAACAUCAAAGAUUUAUCGCUGAAAGAUGGGCUCGCGUCUGAUUAGAUAGUUGGUGGGGUAACGGCCUACCAAGUCUACGAUCAGUAGCCGGACUGAGAGGUUGAACGGCCACAUUGGGACUGAGAUACGGCCCAGACUCCUACGGGAGGCAGCAGUGGGGAAUAUUGCACAAUGGGGGAAACCCUGAUGCAGCAACGCCGCGUGAAGGAUGACGGUUUUCGGAUUGUAAACUUCUUUUCUUAGUGACGAA
Molecule: ribosomal RNA, 419 nt
Filed under: uncultured bacterium
Lineage: Bacteria
Description: bacterial SSU rRNA
Rfam family: Bacterial small subunit ribosomal RNA
Source: RNAcentral